Molecule: ribosomal RNA, 253 nt
Filed under: uncultured bacterium
Lineage: Bacteria
Description: partial 16S ribosomal RNA
Rfam family: Bacterial small subunit ribosomal RNA
Source: RNAcentral
UACGAAGGGGGCGAGCGUUGUUCGGAGUUACUGGGCGUAAAGGGCUCGUAGGCGGCCAACUAAGUCAGACGUGAAAUCCCUCGGCUUAACCGGGGAACUGCAUCUGAUACUGGAUGGCUUGAGUUCGGGAGAGGGAUGCGGAAUUCCAGGUGUAGCGGUGAAAUGCGUAGAUAUCUGGAGGAACACCGGUGGCGAAGGCGGGUCUCUGGGCAACUACUGACGCUGAGGAGCGAAAGCGUGGGGAGCGAACAGG